Molecule: ribosomal RNA, 438 nt
Filed under: uncultured bacterium
Lineage: Bacteria
Description: partial 16S ribosomal RNA
Rfam family: Bacterial small subunit ribosomal RNA
Source: RNAcentral
CUACGGGGCGCUGCAGUGAGGAAUAUUGCACAAUGGGGGGAACCCUGAUGCAGCAACGCCGCGUGGAGGAUGACGCAUUUCGGUGUGUAAACUCCUUUUAUAUGUCAAGAAAAUGACGGUAGCAUAUGAAUAAGCACCGGCUAACUCCGUGCCAGAGCCGCGGUAAUACGGAGGGUGCAAGGGUUACUCGGAAUCACUGGGCGUAAAGGACGCGUAGGCGGGUUGGAAAGUCAGGUGUGAAAUCCUACAGCUUAACUGUAGAACUGCACUUGAAACUUCUAAUCUAGAGUAUGGGAGGGGGAGAUGGAAUUAGUUGUGUAGGGGUAAAAUCCGUAGAUAUCACUAGGAAUACCUAAAGCGAAGGCGAUCUCCUGGAACAUUACUGACGCUAAGGCGUGAAAGCGUGGGGAGCAAACAGGAUUAGAUACCCGGGUAGUC